GACGAACGCUGGCGGCGUGCUUAACACAUGCAAGUCGAGCGGUAAGGCCCUUUCGGGGGUACACGGGCGGCGAACGGGUGAGUAACACGUGGGUGACCUGCCCUCAGCUCUGGGAUAAGCCUGGGAAACCGGGUCUAAUACUGGAUAUGACUCCAUGACGCAUGUUGUGGGGUGGAAAGCCUUGUGCGGCUGAGGAUGGGCCCGCGGCCUAUCAGCUUGUUGGUGGGGUGAGGCCUACCAAGGCGACGACGGGUAGCCGGCCUGAGAGGGCGACCGGCCACACUGGGACUGAGACACGGCCCAGACUCCACGGGUAGGCAGCAGUGGGGAAUCUUGCGC
Molecule: ribosomal RNA, 339 nt
Filed under: uncultured bacterium
Lineage: Bacteria
Description: bacterial SSU rRNA
Rfam family: Bacterial small subunit ribosomal RNA
Source: RNAcentral